GCAAGUCGAACGGUAACAUUGGUGCUUGCAUCAGAUGACGCGUGGCGCACGGGUGCGUAACGCGUAUGCAAUCUGCCCUUUUCUGGAAUAUAGCCCUUGGAAACGAGGAAUAAUACGCCAUAGUAUAACGAUUUCGCAUGUUAUUGUUAUUAAAGCUCCGGCGGAAAAGGAUGAGCAUGCGUCCCAUUAGCUAGUUGGUAAGGUAAUGGCUUACCAAGGCAACGAUGGGUAGGGGGCCUGAGAGGGUGAAC
RNAcentral lists this ribosomal RNA (251 nucleotides) under uncultured bacterium. Its description in RNAcentral is "partial 16S ribosomal RNA". It matches the Rfam family "Bacterial small subunit ribosomal RNA", at positions 57 to 305 of the family's 1533-position model. The record is from RNAcentral.